CCAGUGCAUGCUGUUGCCACAUUAUUUUGUUCGGCGGAGGACAUCUCACCUGCUCCUUGGCUCUAUGAUAGCCAGGUUGAUGACUUUGCUUGACUAGCUGAGAGGAGGUGCAUGGCCGCCGUCAGCUCGUACCGUGAGGCGUCCUGUUAAGUCAGGCAACGAGCGAGACCCACGCCCUUAGUUACCAGCUUAUCCUUUGUUGGAUGAUGGACACACUGAGGCGACCGCCUAUGAUAAAUAGGAGGAAGAAGUCGACGACGGUAGGUCCGUAUGCCACGUAUCUUCUGGGCAACACGCGGGCUACAGUGGCUGAGACAAUGUGCUCCGACACAGAAGGGUGGAGAUACUCCUCUACACUUAGUCGUAGUUCGGAUGGAGGACUGUCACUCGCUCUCAUGAGGCUGGAAUGCGUAGUAAUCGCGUAUCACUAUCGCGCGGAGAAUACGUUCUUGCUUCUAGCACAAAA
This 466-nucleotide ribosomal RNA is filed under the name uncultured methanogenic archaeon. Its description in RNAcentral is "bacterial SSU rRNA". It matches the Rfam family "Archaeal small subunit ribosomal RNA", at positions 881 to 1343 of the family's 1478-position model. The record is from RNAcentral. Lineage: Archaea; Methanobacteriati; Methanobacteriota.